CACAAGUCCACACACACGCAAAGAGACACAACCAGAUCUACUCUAUCCCAACUUCAUUUUUUAUUUUUCUAGAGAUAGAAAGACAAAGAGGAGGUCAUAGGCAUUUACCGCGCGUGCUGAUGGAUGAGAAGUUGAUACAGCGAUUGGAGUCCGCCGUGUCAAGGCUGGAGGCGCUUUCAGUCGGCGGCGGUGUUUCACUUGGAGAUGGAGAAGCUGCGGCGGCUUUAGAUCCAUCCAUUAUUGCAUUUGAUGAUCUGAGGUCACGGUUCGUCGGUAGAGUUUGCACUGCUGCAGAGAAGAUUGGUGGACAGGUUUUGGAUGUCACUAAGAUUGUUGAGGAGGCUUUUGAAGCUCAGAGAGAACUUCUUAUCAAAAUCAAGGAAACUCAGAAACCUAGCAUGUCUGGUUUGGCUGAAUUUCUUAAGCCUCUGAAUGAUGUGAUAGUGAAAGGUACUAAAAUGACAGAAGGACGGCGAUCUGAUUUGUUCAACCACCUGAAGGCUGCUGUUGAUAGUCUAACAGCCCUGGCAUGGAUCGCAUACACUGGAAAAGAUUGUGGUAUGAGUAUGCCUAUUGCACAUGUGGAAGAAAGCUGGCAGAUGGCAGAGUUUUACAAUAACAAGGUCCUUGUGGAGUUCAGAAACAAAGACCCAGAUCAUGUUGAAUGGGCAAAAGCUUUGAAAGAGAUUUAUCUCCCUGGCUUGCGGGAUUACGUUAAGAGUCACUACCCAUUGGGCCCCGCGUGGAGUGCUACAGGGAAAGUAGCUGUAUCUGCACCACCAAAAGCUCCCGCACCAAGUCGUCCCAUGCCUCCUCCACUGCCACCAGCUUCUUUAUUCAGCUCGGAAUCUCCCCAGGCUUCAUCAUCACGCCCCAAGAAAGGGAUGUCAGCUGUUUUUGAUGAAAUUAAUUCGGGGAAGCCAGUCACCGGUGGUAAUGCUCUGCUAUAUUCCCUCCCUUUUUAAUGUAAGACAGUUUUACCCUUGGGUUGAUUUUUUUUGGGUCCAGGAUUGAGAAAGGUGACAGAUGAUAUGAAGACAAAGAAUCGUGCAGAUAGAACCGGUGUCAUUAGUGCAGGAGAAAAGGAACGUCGCGUUAGCUCACCAUCUUUCUCCAAAGCUGGACCUCCAAAACUGGAGCUUCAGAUGGGUCGUAAAUGGGUGGUUGAGAAUCAAAUAGGAAGAAAGAAUCUAGUCAUUGAUGAUUGUGAUGCAAAGCAAUCUGUCUAUAUUUUUGGGUGCAAAGAUUCAGUCCUGCAGAUCCAAGGGAAAGUCAACAACAUAACAAUUGAUAAGUGUACUAAAAUGGGAGUUGUAUUCUCGGAUGUUGUGGCAGCUUGUGAGGUUGUCAACUGUAAUGGUGUGGAGGUUCAAUGUCAGGGUUCAGCACCGACUAUUUCAGUUGAUAAUACAACUGGAUGCCAAUUAUACUUGAGCAAAGAUUCUUUGGGGACUUCCAUUACAACAGCCAAGUCAAGUGAAAUUAAUGUUUUGGUUCCUGGUGCAGGGGCUGAUAGUGAUUGGGGGGAGCACGCUUUGCCACAGCAGUUUUCUCAUGUAUAUAAGAGUGGCCAAUUUGUGACUACACCCGUCUCACAUUCAGGAGGUUAACCGGUGACAAUCUCCACCUUCGUAUGCCUUUUCUUACUAUAUACCAAUUUGAUUUUUCUAGAAGAGCUCAAAGGGUGGUUGAUUAUUUUCUUUGUUGAGUGUAAGUUAUGUUCUGAUCAUUGUAUCUUUUGCCUUUUGUCCACAUCCUAUGGUGGCUAUUUUUUCCAAGAUGAGACUCUGUGACCUUUUCCUGUGGUCACACGUCUGGCUUUUUUUCUUCGUUUUUUUAAAAAAAAAAUUAUUUUGUAUGAAGAGCUUGAUUUUUGUAAGGUAUAAAUUUUCUUGGCAGAUAUCCCUUUUAAAUUUUAAAAUAGUGAAGUGG
This 1932-nucleotide unclassified non-coding RNA is filed under the name Hevea brasiliensis (rubber tree). The record is from RNAcentral. Lineage: Eukaryota; Viridiplantae; Streptophyta; Magnoliopsida; Malpighiales; Euphorbiaceae.